UUCUUAGCUAGCUAGAGACAAAUUCAAAAUUGGAUACGAUACAAAGAAGAUUAGCAUGGGCCCUGCGCAAGGAUGACACGCGACAAUCGUGAAGCGUUUCCAUAUUUU
RNAcentral lists this small nuclear RNA (108 nucleotides) under Fundulus heteroclitus (mummichog). Lineage: Eukaryota; Metazoa; Chordata; Actinopteri; Cyprinodontiformes; Fundulidae. The record is from RNAcentral.